CACGUAGGCGGACUUUCAAGUCAGGGGUGAAAUCCCGGAGCUCAACUUCGGAAUUGCCUUUGAUACUGUUGGUCUCGAGUCCGGAAGAGGUGGGUGGAAUUCCUAGUGUAGAGGUGAAAUUCGUAGAUAUUAGGAAGAACACCGGUGGCGAAGGCGGCCCACUGGUCCGGUACUGACGCUGAGGUGCGAAAGCGUGGGGAGCAACA
Molecule: ribosomal RNA, 206 nt
Filed under: uncultured bacterium
Lineage: Bacteria
Description: partial 16S ribosomal RNA
Rfam family: Bacterial small subunit ribosomal RNA
Source: RNAcentral